RNAcentral lists this ribosomal RNA (958 nucleotides) under uncultured Bacteroidota bacterium. Its description in RNAcentral is "bacterial SSU rRNA". It matches the Rfam family "Bacterial small subunit ribosomal RNA", at positions 8 to 967 of the family's 1533-position model. Lineage: Bacteria; Pseudomonadati; Bacteroidota. The record is from RNAcentral.
AGAGUUUGAUCCUGGCUCAGGAUGAACGCUAAGGCCUAACACAUGCAAGUCGAACGGCAGCACGGGUAGCAAUACCUGGUGGCGAGUGGCGCACGGGUGCGUAACACGUAUGCAACUUACCCUUUACCGAGACAUAACCCAUCGAAAGGUGAGCUAAUAUCUCAUAAUAUUACAUUGAGGCAUCUCAGCGUAAUUAAAGUUCCGGUGGUAAAGGAUAGGCGUGCGUCCCAUUAGCUAGUUGGUAGGGUAACGGCUCACCAAGGCGACGAUGGGUAGGGGUUCUGAGAGGAAAGUCCCCCACACUGGUACUGAGACACGGACCAGACUCCUACGGGAGGCAGCAGUAAGGAAUAUUGGUCAAUGGGCGCAAGCCUGAACCAGCCAUGCCGCGUGCAGGAAGACGGCCUUAUGGGUUGUAAACUGCUUUUGUGAGGGAAAAAACUGGGGUACGCGUACCUCAUUGCUUGUACCUUACGAAUAAGCAUCGGCUAACUCCGUGCCAGCAGCCGCGGUAAUACGGAGGAUGCGAGCGUUAUCCGGAUUCAUUGGGUUUAAAGGGUGCGCAGGCGGACUAAUAAGUCAGUGGUGAAAUCCCAUAGCUUAACUAUGGAACUGCCAUUGAUACUGUUAGACUAGAGUGUAGAUGACGUAGGCGGAAUGCGACAUGUAGCGGUGAAAUGCUUAGAUAUGUCGCAGAACACCGAUUGCGAAGGCAGCUUACGAAACUACAACUGACGCUCAUGCACGAAAGCGUGGGGAUCAAACAGGAUUAGAUACCCUGGUAGUCCACGCCCUAAACGAUGAUUACUCGUUGUUAGCCUGUACAGGUUAGUGGCUAAGGGAAACCGAUAAGUAAUCCACCUGGGGAGUACGAUCGCAAGGGUUGAAACUCAAAGGAAUUGACGGGGGCCCGCACAAGCGGAGGAGCAUGUGGGUUUAAUUCGAUGAUACGCGAGGA